GCUUUCGUGGUGCAACUGAUAGCACAUUCGGCUGGAAAUCGGAAGAUCCGGAGACAGAAUCCCAGCAAGAGCC
This 73-nucleotide transfer RNA is filed under the name Stegodyphus mimosarum. It matches the Rfam family "tRNA". Rfam says of the family: Transfer RNA (tRNA) molecules are approximately 80 nucleotides in length. The record is from Rfam by way of RNAcentral. Lineage: Eukaryota; Metazoa; Arthropoda; Arachnida; Araneae; Eresidae.